GUGGGGAAUCUUCCGCAAUGGACGAAAGUCUGACGGAGCAACGCCGCGUGAGUGAAGAGGGUUUUCGGAUCGUAAAGCUCUUUCGUUAGGGACGAACGUGCUCUUUGUGAAUAAUGAGGAGUAAUGACGGUACCUAAAUAAGAAGCCACGGCUAACUACGUGCCAGCAGCCGCGGUAAUACGUAGGUGGCAAGCGUUGUCCGGAAUUAUUGGGCGUAAAGCGCGCGCAGGCGGGAUAUCAAGUCUGUCUUAAAAGUGCGAGGCUCAACCUCGUGAGGGGACAGAAACUGGUAUUCUUGAGUGUCGGAGAGGAAAGUGGAAUUCCAAGUGUAGCGGUGAAAUGCGUAGAGAUUUGGAAGAACACCAGUGGCGAAGGCGACUUUCUGGACGAUGUCUGACGCUGAGGCGCGAAAGCUAGGGGAGCGAACGGGAUUAGAUACCCUGGUAGUCC
This 450-nucleotide ribosomal RNA is filed under the name uncultured bacterium. RNAcentral's name for it is "partial 16S ribosomal RNA". It matches the Rfam family "Bacterial small subunit ribosomal RNA", at positions 354 to 796 of the family's 1533-position model. The record is from RNAcentral.